UUUUCUCCCCACACAUCCAUUCUCUUACCCCUCUGUCCCCUCCUCACACUUCAUGUUUCGGAGUCUCUUUCAUCUGCCAAGCUACCACUGCUUUCUGCUGAGUCACGAGGAUUUUCUUUUCACUGUGGUGGUCACCAAAUAAUUAUAAAAAUGCUGCCAUUUGAAAGAUUCCUCAGGGUGGGGAUUGCCGUAAACCCUUUGCCUGCUUUUCUCUCAGUAUUUCUGAUGCUGGGUGCCUGCCCUCUUAGGCCACCACUCCAAUACAAAAUGAGCACUAGGCCUCCCUGCAUCACAUUUUCACUCAUAAACCCAGCAAGGCCAGUUGUCUAUACAGUUGCCGGUAUGGCCAUGCCAUAGCCUCCCCAGUGCUGCUUGGGAUCGGGCUGUGCUCAGAAUCAGUCCAGCAAUAGGCACUAUUUCAGAGGUGGGGAUUUGGGAGAUCACAUAGGGAAAUGAUCAAGAUUUCAGAUGCAAAAGAUGUGAGCCACACUGAGAGCUUUUACUUGUCCCUGUGAACACCACCAUCAUUACCACACAGCGCAUUUCCCCCUACAGGUGCUGCUGGGCUCUUGAUGUGGUCACAGCUGUCUGAGGAGAGCAGAACAAGCUGACAGGGAGCCGUGUCAUUGCAAUCAGGUGUUGCCCAAAAUUAAUUGAUCUGCAGGGUGAGAUGGUAGCUGUGCUGCUCCUCAAAUGCAGCCUCUGGCAGCUGAGUCUCCUUGGCUUGGUGCCUUGCAUGUCUACCACAGCACAGAAGAUUCAAGAUGAAGGCUAUGCUAACAGUAGCUGCAAAGGCUGCCAGGCUGGGCAGGUGUCCUCCUUCCUCUGUUUGGUGUUACUAUGCGGCUGGGGGUAAGUGUAUGCUCUAGAAGGAAGUUGGCCUGCUGUAGUAGACAGGUACACAAAGCAUCCAUGGUCUGCACAGCAACAAAAAUCAGCCCUCAGGUAGUUGCUGCCUGACAUGUUUAAGAGGGCAAUUUUCCCUUUGUUGAGAAUUACAUUGUGCACAUACCAAGGGGAGAACGUUCCCCUAAUUAGUUAGAGAAUACAGGCAACGAGUCUUUGUGUCAGAAAGGGCUUCUCUGCUUGUCUCUUACUUUUCAGGAGGGCUCCAUUUACACACACGGGUUGACAUGUAUGG
Molecule: long non-coding RNA, 1141 nt
Filed under: Gallus gallus (chicken)
Lineage: Eukaryota; Metazoa; Chordata; Aves; Galliformes; Phasianidae
Description: lncRNA (ENSGALG00010026304.1)
Source: RNAcentral